AGUGAACGCUGGCGGUAGGCCUAACACAUGCAAGUCGAACGGCAGCACAGUAAGAGCUUGCUCUUACGGGUGGCGAGUGGCGGACGGGUGAGGAAUACAUCGGAAUCUACUUUUUCGUGGGGGAUAACGUAGGGAAACUUACGCUAAUACCGCAUACGACCUACGGGUGAAAGCAGGGGAUCUUCGGACCUUGCGCGAUUGAAUGAGCCGAUGUCGGAUUAGCUAGUUGGCAGGGUAAAGGCCCACCAAGGCGACGAUCCGUAGCUGGUCUGAGAGGAUGAUCAGCCACACUGGAACUGAGACACGGUCCAGACUCCUACGGGAGGCAGCAGUGGGGAAUAUUGGACAAUGGGCGCAAGCCUGAUCCAGCAAUACCGCGUGGGUGAAGAAGGCCUUCGGGUUGUAAAGCCCUGUUGUUGGGAAAGAAAAGCAGCAGGUUAAUACCCCGCUGUUCUGACGGUACCCAAAGAAUAAGCACCGGCUAACUUCGUG
This 492-nucleotide ribosomal RNA is filed under the name uncultured bacterium. RNAcentral describes it as "partial 16S ribosomal RNA". It matches the Rfam family "Bacterial small subunit ribosomal RNA", at positions 29 to 507 of the family's 1533-position model. The record is from RNAcentral.